GAGGAAUAUUGGUCAAUGGACGAGAGUCUGAACCAGCCAUCCCGCGUGCAGGAUGACGGCCCUAUGGGUUGUAAACUGCUUUUCUAUACCAAGAAUAGUUCCGACGUGUCGGGAUUUGCCGGUAGUAUAGGAA
This 133-nucleotide ribosomal RNA is filed under the name uncultured bacterium. Its description in RNAcentral is "partial 16S ribosomal RNA". It matches the Rfam family "Bacterial small subunit ribosomal RNA", at positions 356 to 486 of the family's 1533-position model. The record is from RNAcentral.